CCUACGGGUGGCAGCAGUGGGGAAUAUUGCGCAAUGGGCGAAAGCCUGACGCAGCGACGCCGCGUGAGGGAUGAAGGUCUUCGGAUUGUAAACCUCUGUCAGCAGGGAAGAACGGUCACUGUGCUAAUCAGCAGUGAAUUGACGGUACCUGCAAAGGAAGCACCGGCUAACUCCGUGCCAGCAGCCGCGGUAAUACGGAGGGUGCGGGCGUUAAUCGGAAUUACUGGGCGUAAAGCGCUCGUAGGCGGUAUGUCAAGUCAAGGGGGAAAUCCCCGCGCUCAACGGGGGAACUGCCUUUGAAACUGGCAAACUGGAGUGUGAGAGAGGAUAGUGGAAUUCCAGGUGUAGGAGUGAAAUCCGUAGAUAUCUGGAGGAACAUCAGUGGCGAAGGCGACUAUCUGGCACAUAACUGACGCUGAGGAGCGAAAGCGUGGGUAGCAAACAGGAUUAGAUACCCUAGUAGUC
This 465-nucleotide ribosomal RNA is filed under the name uncultured bacterium. RNAcentral's name for it is "partial 16S ribosomal RNA". It matches the Rfam family "Bacterial small subunit ribosomal RNA", at positions 338 to 795 of the family's 1533-position model. The record is from RNAcentral.